AACGCGAAGAACCUUACCUGGGCUCGAAAUGGAGUGGACCGGGGUAGAAAUAUCCCUUCCCCGCAAGGGGCCGCUUUAUAGGUGCUGCAUGGCUGUCGUCAGCUCGUGUCGUGAGAUGUUGGGUUAAGUCCCGCAACGAGCGCAACCCUUAUCCCCAGUUGCCAUCAUUUAGUUGGGCACUCUGGUGAAACCGCCUCGGAUAACGGGGAGGAAGGUGGGGAUGACGUCAAGUCCUCAUGGCCUUUAUGUCCAGGGCUACACACGUGCUACAAUGGCCGGUACAAACCGUCGCAAACCCGCGAGGGGGAGCUAAUCGGAAAAAGCCGGCCUCAGUUCGGAUUGCAGUCUGCAACUCGACUGCAUGAAGCUGGAAUCGCUAGUAAUCGCGGAUCAGAACGCCGCGGUGAAUACGUUCCCGGGCCUUGUA
Molecule: ribosomal RNA, 427 nt
Filed under: uncultured Acidobacterium sp.
Lineage: Bacteria; Pseudomonadati; Acidobacteriota; Terriglobia; Terriglobales; Acidobacteriaceae
Description: bacterial SSU rRNA
Rfam family: Bacterial small subunit ribosomal RNA
Source: RNAcentral